CCUACGGGAGGCUGCAGUCGAGAAUCAUUCACAAUGGGGGAAACCCUGAUGGUGCGACGCCGCGUGGGGGAAUGAAGGUCUUCGGAUUGUAAACCCCUGUCAUGUGGGAGCAAAUUAAAAAGAUAGUACCACAAGAGGAAGAGACGGCUAACUCUGUGCCAGCAGCAGCGGUAAUACAGAGGUCUCAAGCGUUGUUCGGAAUCACUGGGCGUAAAGCGUGCGUAGGCUGUUUCGUAAGUCGUGUGUGAAAGGCGCGGACUCAACCCGCGGACGGCACAUGAUACUGCGAGACUAGAGUAAUGGAGGGGGAACCGGAAUUCUCGGUGUAGCAGUGAAAUGCGUAGAUAUCGAGAGGAACACUCGUGGCGAAGGCGGGUUCCUGGACAUUAACUGACGCUGAGGCACGAAGGCCAGGGGAGCGAAAGGGAUUAGAUACCCUAGUAGUC
Molecule: ribosomal RNA, 446 nt
Filed under: uncultured bacterium
Lineage: Bacteria
Description: partial 16S ribosomal RNA
Rfam family: Bacterial small subunit ribosomal RNA
Source: RNAcentral